RNAcentral lists this ribosomal RNA (253 nucleotides) under uncultured bacterium. RNAcentral describes it as "partial 16S ribosomal RNA". It matches the Rfam family "Bacterial small subunit ribosomal RNA", at positions 524 to 776 of the family's 1533-position model. The record is from RNAcentral.
UACGGAGGGGGCUAGCGUUGUUCGGAAUUACUGGGCGUAAAGCGCACGUAGGCGGCCUUUCAAGUCAGGGGUGAAAUCCCGGGGCUCAACCCCGGAACUGCCCUUGAAACUGGGAGGCUAGAAUCGUGGAGAGGCGAGUGGAAUUCCGAGUGUAGAGGUGAAAUUCGUAGAUAUUCGGAAGAACACCAGUGGCGAAGGCGACUCGCUGGACAAGCAUUGAAGCUGAGGUGCGAAAGCGUGGGGAGCAAACAGG